Molecule: long non-coding RNA, 3929 nt
Filed under: Sus scrofa (pig)
Lineage: Eukaryota; Metazoa; Chordata; Mammalia; Artiodactyla; Suidae
Description: lncRNA (ENSSSCG00000061634.1)
Source: RNAcentral
UAGAAAAGAAAGUUCUAUCUACCAAAAAAAAAAAAAAAAAAAAAAAUAGCUUAUGGGAAAAGAUCUCUUUGCCAGGAAGCUAAAAACUUUCUGGCAUGGCAAAGACAAAAGACCUUAAGUGGAGGUUAAAAAUAAUGUGAUUUUUAAUCUACGUUUUUGUUGCAAUGUAUAUUCAUUUAAACACUUAAAAAUGGAAGAUGUACCAAGAUUAAAUUAAGACAUGAUAUUUUUAAAAACACUUAGUUUUUAUAUAGAUAAAGGGCAUAACCUCUGUUGACAUGUACUACUCUCAUAAUACAGCAGUCAGACUUGUGAGUCUACAACAGCGUUCCUCUGUAGUUAAACAGGAAACCAAGUUAGAAAAAAAAAAAGGAGUUCCCAUUGUGGCUUAGUGGUAACAAACCCGACUAGUACCAGGAGGACGCACAUUCAAUCCCUGGCCUUACUCAGUGGGUUAAGAAUCCAGUGUUGCUGUGAGCUGUGGUGUAGGUCACAGAUGAGGCUUGAGUCCCAUGUUGCUGUGGCUGUGGCAUAGGCUGGCAGCUAUAGCUCCAGUUUGACCCCUACCCUGGGAACUUCGAUAUGCCAUGAAUGUGGCCCUAAAAAAAAAAAUGUGAAAAAACAGCUGGGAUGAACAGGUUGAGAUCUGAGCUUCCAUUAAGUAUUUACCACUGACGCAGAUCUCUAACCUUUAAUUUUUGAAUACUUUAGCAUAUGUACUUAAAAUUAUCAAAAUCCAUGGAGUUCCCAUCGUGGCUCAGUGGUUAACGAAUCCGACUAGGAACCAAGGGUUCUAUCCCCGGCCUUGCUCAGUGGGUUAAGGAUCCAGCAUUUCCAUGAGCUGUGGUGUUGCAGACUCGCUCAGAUCUUGCACUGCUGUGGCUCUGGCGUAGGCUGGUGGCCACAGCUCCGAUUCGACCCCCAGCCUGGGAACCUCCAUAUGCCGCAGGAGUGGCCCAAGAAAAUCGCAAAAAGACAAAAAAAAAUUAUCAAAAUCCAAUAUGAACGUAAUAAAAAUAGGUCAACCCUAAUACUUUGGCAACCAUUACAGGAAAAAAUGCUAGGUCUUCCUGCCAAGUAGUAGUAUUUGCAGUCAUACUUUUAAGAGGCAAAUACUUGAAACUCUUCUUGAAUUUUGACUUUAGGGAGUUUUCUCCAAACUCUAAAUAAUAUCAAUACUUUCUUGACUAAAUUAAUUUGUAUUAUUUAUUUCACUACCAUCAAAUAGGAAAAACAGCUUAUUUAUUCCUCUCUCCACUUCUCCCACCCUCCUCCUUUGUCUGACUGUUAAGAGGUUUAUUAAUAUUUUUGGUUCUUAUCUUGGCUACCUGUAUACAUUUAGAUAAAACACCCAACUAUAAUUUCUCGCUCUAUCAAGUCUGAACAAUGGUUUAUAACUGUACCAAAGUGUUCCUCUAUCGGCCCUUUUAUUUUUCUCGUCUAUUGGUAUGAAUAACUUGACAUUGCCCAAUUCAGGAGUAGCUACCUGACUUACGUCACUUUGAUCGUGUCCUGAAAGUAAUUUGUGUAUUUGCUGACUAGAAUCUGCUUCUCCAGUCAUCAUGACAUUUUAUUGAGUAUCAUGUAUUAAAUUCUUUCUAGCAAACAAUAUCUAUGGUAGGUUCCAUUCUCUGCAUUGAAUCCUCUAUGUUAUUUAUGUUCCUGGGGGUUUAUUAUAAUUUGUUUGAAUUCCCUGAACACCAGGUAGUGAGAUUUCAAUCACUGGUAAUUUGUCUUUUGAUAAAGAGUGCUCCUCAUUUCUCAGUAUAUACAAGUAUUGGACCAUCCUGUUGUACACCUGAAACUAAUGCAAUGUUGUAUAUCAAUUAUACUUUAAUAAGCGAAAAAAGCCCCUAAAGUCCUGAGCAAAUAUCUUCUCUUUGUACUUCUCAUUUUUUACCUCCUCUCUCUCCUCUCUCUCAUUUUUACCCUUGGUUUCACAAAAUUCGUCAUGUGGUGCCACUCUCCUGAAAAUAUUUCAUUAGAUGAUCACAUGUUUUUUGGCCCCCUCCUCACUCUCAUUCUUUGCCGUUGCAUAUUCCAAAUAUUGCGGAGAUUGUCUCAGGCUGUGUUAGGAUUACUGCUCGUACCCUUGUCAGUAGGAGGGUACUUUUAAAAAUUAACUUCGGUAAUUUCAGUUACAUUUGGGAAAAGAGGGCCCUCAAAGAUGUUCAAAGAGGAGUCAAGGGCACCAGUUUCUAUGAGAUGCAACAAAGUUUUGACAUAGAACGAGUUGAAAGGGGAAAGAAUGUGGAAAAUCAUUCACCCACCUCUGGGUCCUGCCUGGAGGUUUGUCCAUCAGAUACGGUGACAGGAUACGUGUAUAAGGAAAUGAAGCUUGUGGGUGUAGAAUGGGUCUUCCGUCUUCAGGACACCCGGUCACCAUAUAUUCUGUAUAUAGAAUCUGUAUUAAACCUGUAGUUUUCCAGACCAACCGUGGAAUUUUAACUCCGAAUUCUUCUGCUAAUGUGCCUCUUUCUGCUGAGAAUAGCUGCUCCCUACCACACAGGUUUUAGCUACACCUUCUUCCACUUGUCAAACAUAUAUUCACCUUUCAAUCUUAUUUGGAGUCUUUAACACUUACCUCUUGCGGAAAGCUGGCUGUGCCAUUCCAAUGUAAUUGACUCACUGUCCUACAGUGAUAUAUUAACCUUAACAUUGUAUACGAAGUGGAACAGAGUGGAACAGGAAACCGGUGUUACUUCAGAGUUAAAUUACCAACUUUCCAAAAAAUAGUAAUUACAUAUGAUUGAAAGCCAGAGUUGAUAAAGAAACUUGGUCCCACCUGAUUUUACUAUUGUCUUAGGUGUCUGGUCUAUAUCCGAUAACUUCUCAAGAUUUUUUUUCUUUUUUUUUAAAGAAGAGUUGUGGUUUUGUUUUACAAGAGGAGGAAAAUCUUGAGAACCCUCAUCAUUUAAAAAGUGAAAAAUCCCAAGAAAGCAUUUAAGGCAUUUAUAGAAACAACCUGUUCACCAUAAAUGAUACUUAAAGUAACCAGUUGUACCCAAACUAGAGGAAAAAAAAAAAAGCAUUUUAAGUAUGCUUUUUAUCAUUUGUUCCACUUCAGUGAAACUCCAGAGAAAGCUAAAACCUAUGUAAAGUGUCAUCAUGCCUACUUUAUCCCGAGUAAGAGGCACAGUGUGGCAAAGACUUGUUCACCUACCUUUCUUUUCUUGCUCUUCCUUUAAUAUUAGAACUCCUGGUUUUUAGCCGAGGAUACCCUCCCCUUCCCUGACUCCAGUGAGGCUCUUCCCAGCCUCCCUGAUUUGCUGACUGGCCAAGGGAGCGGUGGAACAGCCACUCUGGAUGCACAGAUAAAAUCCACACACAGAGGACGGCCGUCAUUUUGCCAGGCCUGGAAUGUUCACCUCUGGGCAGCCCUGCGAGCGAGAACUGUGAAUCUUUCUUGUUUAAACUGCUGUAUUUAUGGAUCUCAAUGUUACAAGAACUGGUAUAAAUCAAUACCAACACAUCAGAGAAAACCUAAAGAAAUGCUGUCUUUGGGAGUUCCCGUCAUAGCUCAGUGGUUAACGAAUCUGACUAGGAACUAUGAGGUUGUGGGUUCGAUCCCUGGCCUUGCUCAGUGGGUUGAGGAUCCGGCGUUGCCGUGGCUCUGGCGUAGGCCGGCGGCUACAGCUCCGAUUCAACCCCUAGCCUGGGAACCUCCAUAUGCCACGGGAGCGGCCUUAGAAAUGGCAGAAAGACAAAAAAAUAAAAAAAUAAAAAAAAAAGAAAUGCUGUCUUUGAGGGUUCCCAUGGUGGCACAGUAGAAACGAACUUGACUCGUAUCCAUGAGGAGGCAGGUUUAAUCCCUGGCCUCGAUCAGUGGGUUAAGGAUCCCACGUUGCAGUGAGCUGUGGUGUAGGUCGCAGAUGCAGCUCCGAUUUGACUCCCAGCCUGGGAACUUCCAUAUGCCAUGGAUGUGACAC